ACCUACGGGGGGCAGCAGUAGGGAAUCUUCCACAAUGGGCGAAAGCCUGAUGGAGCAACGCCGCGUGGGUGAAGAAGGUCUUCGGAUCGUAAAACCCUGUUGUUAGAGAAGAAAGUGCGUGAGAGUAACUGUUCACAUUUCGACGGUAUCUAACCAGAAAGCCACGGCUAACUACGUGCCAGCAGCCGCGGUAAUACGUAGGUGGCAAGCGUUAUCCGGAUUUAUUGGGCGUAAAGGGAACGCAGGCGGUCUUUUAAGUCUGAUGUGACAGCCUUCGGCUUAACCUGAGUAGUGCAUUGGAAACU
RNAcentral lists this ribosomal RNA (305 nucleotides) under uncultured bacterium. RNAcentral describes it as "bacterial SSU rRNA". It matches the Rfam family "Bacterial small subunit ribosomal RNA", at positions 337 to 634 of the family's 1533-position model. The record is from RNAcentral.